Molecule: ribosomal RNA, 1594 nt
Filed under: Bacillus safensis
Lineage: Bacteria; Bacillati; Bacillota; Bacilli; Caryophanales; Bacillaceae
Description: bacterial SSU rRNA
Rfam family: Bacterial small subunit ribosomal RNA
Source: RNAcentral
UCCUGUCAGACGAACGCUGGCGGCGUGCCUAAUACAUGCAAGUCGAGCGGACAGAAGGGAGCUUGCUCCCGGAUGUUAGCGGCGGACGGGUGAGUAACACGUGGGUAACCUGCCUGUAAGACUGGGAUAACUCCGGGAAACCGGAGCUAAUACCGGAUAGUUCCUUGAACCGCAUGGUUCAAGGAUGAAAGACGGUUUCGGCUGUCACUUACAGAUGGACCCGCGGCGCAUUAGCUAGUUGGUGGGGUAAUGGCUCACCAAGGCGACGAUGCGUAGCCGACCUGAGAGGGUGAUCGGCCACACUGGGACUGAGACACGGCCCAGACUCCUACGGGAGGCAGCAGUAGGGAAUCUUCCGCAAUGGACGAAAGUCUGACGGAGCAACGCCGCGUGAGUGAUGAAGGUUUUCGGAUCGUAAAGCUCUGUUGUUAGGGAAGAACAAGUGCGAGAGUAACUGCUCGCACCUUGACGGUACCUAACCAGAAAGCCACGGCUAACUACGUGCCAGCAGCCGCGGUAAUACGUAGGUGGCAAGCGUUGUCCGGAAUUAUUGGGCGUAAAGGGCUCGCAGGCGGUUUCUUAAGUCUGAUGUGAAAGCCCCCGGCUCAACCGGGGAGGGUCAUUGGAAACUGGGAAACUUGAGUGCAGAAGAGGAGAGUGGAAUUCCACGUGUAGCGGUGAAAUGCGUAGAGAUGUGGAGGAACACCAGUGGCGAAGGCGACUCUCUGGUCUGUAACUGACGCUGAGGAGCGAAAGCGUGGGGAGCGAACAGGAUUAGAUACCCUGGUAGUCCACGCCGUAAACGAUGAGUGCUAAGUGUUAGGGGGUUUCCGCCCCUUAGUGCUGCAGCUAACGCAUUAAGCACUCCGCCUGGGGAGUACGGUCGCAAGACUGAAACUCAAAGGAAUUGACGGGGGCCCGCACAAGCGGUGGAGCAUGUGGUUUAAUUCGAAGCAACGCGAAGAACCUUACCAGGUCUUGACAUCCUCUGACAACCCUAGAGAUAGGGCUUUCCCUUCGGGGACAGAGUGACAGGUGGUGCAUGGUUGUCGUCAGCUCGUGUCGUGAGAUGUUGGGUUAAGUCCCGCAACGAGCGCAACCCUUGAUCUUAGUUGCCAGCAUUCAGUUGGGCACUCUAAGGUGACUGCCGGUGACAAACCGGAGGAAGGUGGGGAUGACGUCAAAUCAUCAUGCCCCUUAUGACCUGGGCUACACACGUGCUACAAUGGACAGAACAAAGGGCUGCAAGACCGCAAGGUUUAGCCAAUCCCAUAAAUCUGUUCUCAGUUCGGAUCGCAGUCUGCAACUCGACUGCGUGAAGCUGGAAUCGCUAGUAAUCGCGGAUCAGCAUGCCGCGGUGAAUACGUUCCCGGGCCUUGUACACACCGCCCGUCACACCACGAGAGUUUGCAACACCCGAAGUCGGUGAGGUAACCUUUAUGGAGCCAGCCGCCGAAGGUGGGGCAGAUGAUUGGGGUGAAGUCGACCAGGGGGAACCAAAAAAACCAUACGCUCCUGAGAGGGACCUGAUGUUCUGGCAGCAGUUCCGGAGAGUUCUCCGUCUCCUAGGCCUGACAUGACCGGUGGGCCACGU